UUUGAUCCUGGCUCAGAUUGAACGCUGGCGGCAUGCCUUACACAUGCAAGUCGAACGGCAUCGCGGGAAAGCUUGCUUUCCUGGCGGCGAGUGGCGAACGGGUGAGUAACACAUCGGAACGUACCGGCUAGUGGGGGAUAACCCGUCGAAAGACGGGCUAAUACCGCAUACGCUCUUCGGAGGAAAGCAGGGGACCUUUGGGCCUUGCGCUAGCCGAGCGGCCGAUGUCCGAUUAGCUAGUUGGUGGGGUAAAGGCCUACCAAGGCGACGAUCGGUAGCGGGUCUGAGAGGACGAUCCGCCACACUGGGACUGAGACACGGCCCAGACUCCUACGGGAGGCAGCAGUGGGGAAUCUUGGACAAUGGGGGCAACCCUGAUCCAGCAAUGCCGCGUGGGUGAAGAAGGCCUUCGGGUUGUAAAGCCCUUUCGGCAGGGAAGAAAUCGGCGGGGCGAAUAACCCUGCUGGAUGACGGUACCUGCAGAAGAAGCACCGGCUAACUACGUGCCAGCAGCCGCGGUAAU
RNAcentral lists this ribosomal RNA (523 nucleotides) under uncultured bacterium. RNAcentral describes it as "bacterial SSU rRNA". It matches the Rfam family "Bacterial small subunit ribosomal RNA", at positions 12 to 524 of the family's 1533-position model. The record is from RNAcentral.